RNAcentral lists this ribosomal RNA (434 nucleotides) under uncultured bacterium. Its description in RNAcentral is "partial 16S ribosomal RNA". It matches the Rfam family "Bacterial small subunit ribosomal RNA", at positions 29 to 507 of the family's 1533-position model. The record is from RNAcentral.
AGCGAACGCUGGCGGCAGGCCUAACACAUGCAAGUCGAACGAACCUUUCGGGGUUAGUGGCGGACGGGUGAGUAACACGUGGGAACGUGACAUUAGGAUCGGAAUAACUCAGGGAAACGUGUGCUAAUACCGAAUGUGCCCUACGGGGGAAAGAUUAAUCGCCGUUAGAGCGGCACGCGUCAGAUUAGCUAGUUAGUUGAGUUAAUGGCGCACCAAGGCGACGUUCAGUAGCUGGUCGGAGAGGGUGGUCAGCCACAUUGGGACUGAGACACGGCCCAAACUCCUACGGGAUGCAGCAGAGGGUAAUGUAGCGCAGUGGGCGGAAGGAUGACGCUGCCAUGCCGCGAGAAUGAUGAAAGUAUUAAGAUAGAAAUAUUCUUUCACCUGGGAAGAUAAUGACGGUACCCAGAGAAAAAGCCCCGGCUAACUUCGUG